AUACGGAGGGUGCAAGCGUUACUCGGAAUCACUGGGCGUAAAGCGCGCGCAGGCGGUCUUUUAAGUUGGAUGUGAAAGCCUACGGCUCAACCGUAGAACUGCAUCCAAAACUAUUAGACUAGAGUGUGUGAGAGGAAGAUGGAAUUAGUUGUGUAGGGGUAAAAUCCGUAGAGAUAACUAGGAAUACCAAAAGCGAAGGCAAUCUUCUGGAACACUACUGACGCUGAGGCGCGAAAGCGUGGGGAGCAAACAGGAUUAGAAACCCUAGUAGUCC
RNAcentral lists this ribosomal RNA (274 nucleotides) under uncultured bacterium. RNAcentral's name for it is "partial 16S ribosomal RNA". It matches the Rfam family "Bacterial small subunit ribosomal RNA", at positions 523 to 796 of the family's 1533-position model. The record is from RNAcentral.